AAUUAAGCGGUACCAGUGAGCGGUAUUAUGCAGUCCAGAAGGAAAAUGGAUAAAUAUUCCUGUUUGUAUUGCGAAAGUUUAAUUAUUUUAUAUAUACGUUCCUUAUUCCUGGUUUCCUAAAUGAAACCUAAUUUGCUGAUUGUAAAUAUAACGACGACUGCACUUCUUAAUAUAAAA
This 177-nucleotide long non-coding RNA is filed under the name Polistes fuscatus (common paper wasp). Its description in RNAcentral is "uncharacterized LOC122525829". Lineage: Eukaryota; Metazoa; Arthropoda; Insecta; Hymenoptera; Vespidae. The record is from RNAcentral.